GGUUAAGCGACUAAGCGUACACGGUGGAUGCCCUGGCAGUCAGAGGCGAUGAAGGACGUGCUAAUCUGCGAUAAGCGCCGGUAAGGUGAUAUGAACCGUUAUAACCGGCGAUUUCCGAAUGGGGAAACCCAGUGUGAUUCGUCACACUAUCAUUAACUGAAUCCAUAGGUUAAUGAGGCGAACCGGGGGAACUGAAACAUCUAAGUACCCCGAGGAAAAGAAAUCAACCGAGAUUCCCCCAGUAGCGGCGAGCGAACGGGGAGGAGCCCAGAGCCUGAAUCAGCAUGUGUGUUAGUGGAAGCGUCUGGAAAGGCGCGCGAUACAGGGUGACAGCCCCGUACACAAAAGCGCAUGUGCUGUGAGCUCGAUGAGUAGGGCGGGACACGUGGUAUCCUGUCUGAAUAUGGGGGGACCAUCCUCCAAGGCUAAAUACUCCUGACUGACCGAUAGUGAACCAGUACCGUGAGGGAAAGGCGAAAAGAACCCCGGCGAGGGGAGUGAAAAAGAACCUGAAACCGUGUACGUACAAGCAGUGGGAGCCCCACCACCAAAGCAUUCUCUGGUGUUGAAGGCCCUGCAAAGCAGCAUCGCGGUGGCGGAGCGUCGUUUGCGACGCCCAACACACAAAACAAGCGGUGAGUGCUUUGGGGUGGGGUGACUGCGUACCUUUUGUAUAAUGGGUCAGCGACUUAUAUUCUGUAGCAAGGUUAACCGAAUAGGGGAGCCGUAGGGAAACCGAGUCUUAACCGGGCGUUAAGUUGCAGGGUAUAGACCCGAAACCCGGUGAUCUAGCCAUGGGCAGGUUGAAGGUUGGGUAACACUAACUGGAGGACCGAACCGACUAAUGUUGAAAAAUUAGCGGAUGACCUGUGGCUGGGGGUGAAAGGCCAAUCAAACCGGGAGAUAGCUGGUUCUCCCCGAAAGCUAUUUAGGUAGCGCCUCGUGAAUUCAUCUCCGGGGGUAGAGCACUGUUUCGGCUAGGGGGCCAUCCCGGCUUACCAACCCGAUGCAAACUGCGAAUACCGGAGAAUGUUAUCACGGGAGACACACGGCGGGUGCUAACGUCCGUCGUGAAGAGGGAAACAACCCAGACCGCCAGCUAAGGUCCCAAAGUCAUGGUUAAGUGGGAAACGAUGUGGGAAGGCCCAGACAGCCAGGAUGUUGGCUUAGAAGCAGCCAUCAUUUAAAGAAAGCGUAAUAGCUCACUGGUCGAGUCGGCCUGCGCGGAAGAUGUAACGGGGCUAAACCAUGCACCGAAGCUGCGGCAGCGACGCUGAUGCGUUGUUGGGUAGGGGAGCGUUCUGUAAGCCUGUGAAGGUGGCCUGUGAGGGUUGCUGGAGGUAUCAGAAGUGCGAAUGCUGACAUAAGUAACGAUAAAGCGGGUGAAAAGCCCGCUCGCCGGAAGACCAAGGGUUCCUGUCCAACGUUAAUCGGGGCAGGGUGAGUCGACCCCUAAGGCGAGGCCGAAAGGCGUAGUCGAUGGGAAACGGGUUAAUAUUCCCGUACUUGGUGUUACUGCGAAGGGGGACGGAGAAGGCUAUGUUGGCCGGGCGACGGUUGUCCCGGUUUAAGCGUGUAGGUGUGUGUUCCAGGUAAAUCCGGUUCACUUUAACACUGAGGCGUGAUGACGAGGCACUACGGUGCUGAAGCAACAAAUGCCCUGCUUCCAGGAAAAGCCUCUAAGCAUCAGGUAACAUCAAAUCGUACCCCAAACCGACACAGGUGGUCAGGUAGAGAAUACCAAGGCGCUUGAGAGAACUCGGGUGAAGGAACUAGGCAAAAUGGUGCCGUAACUUCGGGAGAAGGCACGCUGACACGUAGGUGAAGUGAUUUACUCAUGGAGCUGAAGUCAGUCGAAGAUACCAGCUGGCUGCAACUGUUUAUUAAAAACACAGCACUGUGCAAACACGAAAGUGGACGUAUACGGUGUGACGCCUGCCCGGUGCCGGAAGGUUAAUUGAUGGGGUCAGCGCAAGCGAAGCUCCUGAUCGAAGCCCCGGUAAACGGCGGCCGUAACUAUAACGGUCCUAAGGUAGCGAAAUUCCUUGUCGGGUAAGUUCCGACCUGCACGAAUGGCGUAAUGAUGGCCAGGCUGUCUCCACCCGAGACUCAGUGAAAUUGAACUCGCUGUGAAGAUGCAGUGUACCCGCGGCAAGACGGAAAGACCCCGUGAACCUUUACUAUAGCUUGACACUGAACAUUGAGCCUUGAUGUGUAGGAUAGGUGGGAGGCUUUGAAGCGUGGACGCCAGUCUGCAUGGAGCCGGCCUUGAAAUACCACCCUUUAAUGUUUGAUGUUCUAACGUGGACCCGUGAUCCGGGUUGCGGACAGUGUCUGGUGGGUAGUUUGACUGGGGCGGUCUCCUCCUAAAGAGUAACGGAGGAGCACGAAGGUUGGCUAAUCCUGGUCGGACAUCAGGAGGUUAGUGCAAUGGCAUAAGCCAGCUUGACUGCGAGCGUGACGGCGCGAGCAGGUGCGAAAGCAGGUCAUAGUGAUCCGGUGGUUCUGAAUGGAAGGGCCAUCGCUCAACGGAUAAAAGGUACUCCGGGGAUAACAGGCUGAUACCGCCCAAGAGUUCAUAUCGACGGCGGUGUUUGGCACCUCGAUGUCGGCUCAUCACAUCCUGGGGCUGAAGUAGGUCCCAAGGGUAUGGCUGUUCGCCAUUUAAAGUGGUACGCGAGCUGGGUUUAGAACGUCGUGAGACAGUUCGGUCCCUAUCUGCCGUGGGCGCUGGAGAACUGAGGGGGGCUGCUCCUAGUACGAGAGGACCGGAGUGGACGCAUCACUGGUGUUCGGGUUGUCAUGCCAAUGGCACUGCCCGGUAGCUAAAUGCGGAAGAGAUAAGUGCUGAAAGCAUCUAAGCACGAAACUUGCCCCGAGAUGAGUUCUCCCUGAGACUUAGAGUCUCCUGAAGGAACGUUGAAGACGACGACGUUGAUAGGCCGGGUGUGUAAGCGCAGCGAUGCGUUGAGCUAACCGGUACUAAUGAACCGUGAGGCUUAACCUU
Molecule: ribosomal RNA, 3007 nt
Filed under: Salmonella enterica subsp. enterica serovar Gallinarum
Lineage: Bacteria; Pseudomonadati; Pseudomonadota; Gammaproteobacteria; Enterobacterales; Enterobacteriaceae
Also listed under: 1 other name
Description: 23S ribosomal RNA
Rfam family: Bacterial large subunit ribosomal RNA
Source: RNAcentral